Lynx canadensis (Canada lynx) is the source of this 1553-nucleotide long non-coding RNA. RefSeq lists it as uncharacterized. The transcript has 4 exons. Lineage: Eukaryota; Metazoa; Chordata; Mammalia; Carnivora; Felidae. The record is from RefSeq and is a predicted model, not a curated record.
CAGGGGGGGUGGAGGGGGUGGCGGGAAGCUAGGGUUUCGGUCAAUCCAAGCUCCGGACCCCCCGCUGAGCUCCUAGGACAUUUCCUCCCCUCGCAUCCCCACUCCCGGUGCCUAAUGCAGGUUCUACUCACGGCUGGCGCCCUGUCAGUUGCCCUCCUAGAGCGGGAGGUCUGGGACCCACUGCCGAGCCCUGAGCUCUUGCUGUCAGCCUUCCCCGACUCUGCCAAGGCUCCAGACAGUUGCCACGAAUGGAUCUUGGCUGGUGAGCUGAGGCUUGGGCUGGGAGCAACAGGAAAUCGAAGGGAUGUGGUGAAGGCUGAGAACUGCUGGAAAGGAAACCAAGAUCCCGGAGCUCUAUGGACUCCAGGGUGUAGCUGACACUUCUGGUGACCUCAGGUGAUAGACCAGCCCUGCUCCCAGGACCCUCUCGCAGAGAUUGCUGGUCAGGACCUCGUGCCCUCACCGCUGUCCUUGCUGGUCUGAGCCCCAGAAUCCAACUGACCGCCCGGUCCCAGAGGAGGAGAGCAGGGCAGGCCCAGACAACUCCUAUAGAAGCAGCAGAUACACUGACUCCAACACCGUUCUCGUUCAAGGGGGAGCAGACGUCAACACAGCCCUAAAAUAGGCCAGACUGCAGCAGGAGGUACAGAGGAGCAUGGGGUUCGGGGUGAGGAGAGGGUGGUUCUCGUGAGAAACAGAGGAAGCUUCCUGCAGGUGAGAAUCUCUGACCCAGACCUAGCGAAUCGUGUUCCUUUUCAGCCUCGGUUUCUGCAUCUGCAAAAUGGGGGUGAGGACUAUAUUUGCCCGGUGAGGUUGUGGGGUGGGUCAACUCUGUCGGGCGAUCAGACGGGGGAAAACUCUGGAAGGCAACACUGAUUGUUGGGAAUUAGUAGGAUUCUGACAGGACGGGGCGGGAGGAGAAACGUCCCCAGUAAAAAGAGCGCUGUGAAGCGAGACUAGUCCUGACAUACUCGUCCGCGAAUGUUUAUUGUGCACCUACUUGACCAGCCCUGAAGAAGAACUUAGCCUGAGGGGCGGGUGGUUGGGGUCUGAACACCACACUCGAGAAUAAGGACUGUGUCAAAUGGGCAGUGGGGAAGCAUGUUAAGGAGGAUGGUGACGGAGAGGGCGUCCCCAGAACACCUUUAGGAGACUCCCCAGGGCAGUGCACCUGCUCCACGGAGGGGCCCAAAGCACCAGACUUAGGGGAGGAGGGGUCAGCGAAAGCAGAAGAGAGGACACUUAGGUCACCCAGCCCAGGCCCUGCCUUCUGCCUCUGGUCACCGAGCCCCUGCCCUUAGUGCUUCGGGCUUCUUGGCUGCCAGCGGUCACCUCCCCUAACCCCAGACAAUAAAUUAGUAAGCAAAAUGCAUAGUAUGUUAGAUGGGUACUAUGUGCUCUUUUAAUAAAGAGGAAUUUCAGCACAAAUGACUCCCUAACUUCCUUCUGGUCUUCACUUAAAGGCCCUCACGUCUCAGUGAGGCUUUCCCUAACCAAGGCGUGUUUUAUUUUUUUUUAAUGUUUAUUUAUUUUUGACGGACAGCGAGAGAGAG